RNAcentral lists this non-coding RNA (279 nucleotides) under Selaginella moellendorffii. RNAcentral describes it as "rRNA LSU_rRNA_eukarya". It matches the Rfam family "Eukaryotic large subunit ribosomal RNA", at positions 675 to 954 of the family's 3401-position model. Lineage: Eukaryota; Viridiplantae; Streptophyta; Lycopodiopsida; Selaginellales; Selaginellaceae. The record is from Rfam by way of RNAcentral.
CUAACAUGUAUGCAAGUCUGUGGGUGUUACACCCGUACAAGCGAAAAAAAACUAAUUCGUGGGAUCCCCUUUGGGGGUGCACCACAGACUGACCUUGAUCUUUUGAGAAGGGUUUGAGUGUUAGCAUACCUGCUGGGACCCGAAAAGAUGGUGAACUAUGCCUGAGUAGGGCGAAGCCAAAGGAAACUCUGGUGGAGACUCGUAGCGAUACUGACGUGCAAAUCGUUUGUCAGACUUGGGUAUAGGGGCGAAAGACUAAUCGAACCAUCUAGUAGCUGG